This 71-nucleotide transfer RNA is filed under the name Flavobacteriales bacterium. RNAcentral describes it as "tRNA-Gly". It matches the Rfam family "tRNA". From Rfam's summary of the family: Transfer RNA (tRNA) molecules are approximately 80 nucleotides in length. Their secondary structure includes four short double-helical elements and three loops (D, anti-codon, and T loops). Lineage: Bacteria; Pseudomonadati; Bacteroidota; Flavobacteriia; Flavobacteriales. The record is from RNAcentral.
GCACCUUUGGUGUAGUGGUAACAUAUUUCCCUUCCAAGGAAAUGCCCCGGUUUCGAUUACCGGAAGGUGCA